RNAcentral lists this unclassified non-coding RNA (116 nucleotides) under uncultured Glomus. Its description in RNAcentral is "sequence contains ITS1". The record is from RNAcentral. Lineage: Eukaryota; Fungi; Glomeromycota; Glomeromycetes; Glomerales; Glomeraceae.
AUGAUUUUAAAGCAAAACUUAAGCUUUUUUUUAAAAGUAAGGUUUUGCGAAAUAUAUUUAAAACCCCACUCUUUUAAAAAAAAUUUUUCAUACAUGUGAUUAUGAAUAAAAAAAGA